AUACGGAGGAUGCGAGCGUUAUCCGGAUUUAUUGGGUUUAAAGGGUGCGUAGGCUGUGCGUUAAGUCAGGGGUGAAAUGCCGUCGCUCAACGACGGAGCUGCCCUUGAUACUGUCGUGCUGGAGUACGGAUGCCGUUGGAGGAAUGAGUGGUGUAGCGGUGAAAUGCUUAGAUAUCACUCAGAACACCGAUUGCGAAGGCAUCUGACGAAUCCGUCACUGACGCUGAGGCACGAAAGCGUGGGGAUAGAACAGGAUUAGAUACCCUGGUAUUCCACGCCGUAAACGAUGAUGACUAACCGUCGGCGAUAGACAGCCGGUGGCCAAGCGAAAGCGAUAAGUCAUCCACCUGGGGAGUACGGCGGCAACGAUGAAACUCAAAUGAAUUGACGGGG
RNAcentral lists this ribosomal RNA (393 nucleotides) under uncultured bacterium. Its description in RNAcentral is "partial 16S ribosomal RNA". It matches the Rfam family "Bacterial small subunit ribosomal RNA", at positions 523 to 918 of the family's 1533-position model. The record is from RNAcentral.